AUUCAGAUGACGGGUCUCAAACAGGACGAAAUACGCAUUGUCCUGGAU
Molecule: non-coding RNA, 48 nt
Filed under: Trichobilharzia regenti
Lineage: Eukaryota; Metazoa; Platyhelminthes; Trematoda; Strigeidida; Schistosomatidae
Source: RNAcentral